AAAGAAGACCCAGGCAGGGGAAGUUAGUUACCCAUGAUCACAUAGCAAAUGCAUGCAGAACAAGCAUAGGAUUCCCUCCCCCCUUUCCUGAUCCUCAGGGCUUGAAGGGGCACUGGGAACAUCUAGAACAUGCUGCAGCAGAGGGACACGUGAAGCCAAGGAGCCGAUGUGGGCAGAGGCCCCAAGCAGCAAGCUGCAGACUUAGAAGCUGGUCUUGGGUACAUUAGGAGACGCUGUCUAAGGCCCAGUUGAAGAGGAGGUCACUGUGUACCCAGAACCAAUCCAGAUGUUUGGACAUGAACGUUCACCUUGUUAUUUUCCUGGAGGAGGGAAGAAAAGAGGGUGGUUCUUGCUCCAAUGGAGAAACCAGCAGAUACAGCCUCUUCAAAGCUGCCUGGUUCGUGACAUGCCUCCCCAAACCACGGGACACUGAACCAUGACUCUGGGGUUCAUGAUGGAGCUGAGAGAUGAGCCUUUAACUUAGCAGCCGCCUGCUGAACCGUGAAGAAACUUAAAAUAGCGAUGAUCUCCCUUCCAUGCUGCCUCUUUCCCCACAUAGAACCCGCAAGCCAAUCUGCGGUGUUUAUACUCAAGGCCAUAUGAAGCUAAUCUGUAUGGAAAUAAAGGAUAGAAAUAUUCAGAUUGAGUUUUACUA
RNAcentral lists this long non-coding RNA (655 nucleotides) under Vulpes vulpes (red fox). Its description in RNAcentral is "lncRNA (ENSVVUG00000019950.1)". Lineage: Eukaryota; Metazoa; Chordata; Mammalia; Carnivora; Canidae. The record is from RNAcentral.